UGUACUGGUGGCUCAGUGGUUGAGGCUUUAAAUUACAGAUUUAAAGGUCUGGGUUCAAAUUCCAGCACUGCCA
Non-coding RNA from Pangasius djambal, 73 nucleotides. The record is from the annotation of a GenBank genome assembly. NCBI's taxonomy places the organism in Eukaryota, Metazoa, Chordata, Actinopteri, Siluriformes, Pangasiidae.